This 211-nucleotide ribosomal RNA is filed under the name Geopseudomonas aromaticivorans. RNAcentral describes it as "Pseudomonas sp. MAP12 partial 23S ribosomal RNA". It matches the Rfam family "Bacterial large subunit ribosomal RNA", at positions 1 to 212 of the family's 2925-position model. Lineage: Bacteria; Pseudomonadati; Pseudomonadota; Gammaproteobacteria; Pseudomonadales; Pseudomonadaceae. The record is from RNAcentral.
GGUCAAGUGAAUAAGCGCAUACGGUGGAUGCCUUGGCAGUCAGAGGCGAUGAAAGACGUGGUAGCCUGCGAAAAGCUUCGGGGAGUCGGCAAACAGACUUUGAUCCGGAGAUCUCUGAAUGGGGAAACCCACCUACCAUAAGGUAGGUAUCUUGUACUGAAUACAUAGGUGCAAGAGGCGAACCAGGGGAACUGAAACAUCUAAGUACCCU